AGAAACCCGCACACCAAUAGACUAAGGUUUCCUGAUCAACGUUAAUCGGAUCAGGGUUAGUCGGGACCUAAGGCGAAUCCGAACGGAGUAGUCGAUGGCCAACAGUUUAAUAUUACUGUACUAGCUCUACUGCUAUGGGGUGACGAAGUAGUGAAAGAUCUGCGCACUGACGGAAAUGUGCGUUAAAGCCCGUAGAUAUAGGACCUGUAGGUAAAUCCGCAGGACCUGUCGAAGGUGAUAGUACCGCGAGUCUUCGGGCAAGCGGAUAAUGAUCCUAAUCAAACUUCCAAGAAAAACCUCUAAGCUUCAGGUAGAAGCUACCCGUACCGCAAACCGACAC
This 340-nucleotide ribosomal RNA is filed under the name Anophryoides haemophila. RNAcentral's name for it is "partial Bacterial large subunit ribosomal RNA". It matches the Rfam family "Bacterial large subunit ribosomal RNA", at positions 1324 to 1660 of the family's 2925-position model. The record is from RNAcentral. Lineage: Eukaryota; Ciliophora; Oligohymenophorea; Philasterida; Glauconematidae.